This 462-nucleotide long non-coding RNA is filed under the name Brassica napus (rape). RNAcentral describes it as "long non-coding RNA (BNAP_LNC015022)". The record is from RNAcentral. Lineage: Eukaryota; Viridiplantae; Streptophyta; Magnoliopsida; Brassicales; Brassicaceae.
GGUUUAAGGUGAGAGCUCAUAGCCAAAAGAAACACAACUAGCACUCAAUUCAACAUCUAAUCCAGCAUGACACACUCUCUUAUUACACUCUAGCUUCUGUAGGCCUAUCUCAACUUCUUUUGCCCUUACACUCAUCAUCAAGCAUCCACACAUUCAAAUCAACCAACUCUCACAUUCAUUAAGCAUAAAACAUCAGGUGAAUUCUUGCAAAUGGUCAAUUGGUUCAAAUCAUUUGGUUGGGUAAGGGAAGACUCGUUAUUCAAGUGAGUCAAGAGGUUCAAGAUAUAUGAUCUUUAAGGUGGUUUACUCUCGAAACAAACAAGUAGUCUUGACAUUGCACAUAAUAUAUCUAAGAAAGGGACCAACUCAUGCAUACAAUGCUCAAUCUCCAUUGUUCUACCCUUUUCCCAAACAUACAAGUUACACAAUCACUUCCCAAUGUCAAACCAAACUCACAUCUCU